This 212-nucleotide unclassified non-coding RNA is filed under the name Hevea brasiliensis (rubber tree). Lineage: Eukaryota; Viridiplantae; Streptophyta; Magnoliopsida; Malpighiales; Euphorbiaceae. The record is from RNAcentral.
UGGAGAUUGAUUGCAGCUGUAUGUGAUAUCUAUUGAAAGUAACAGCAGUUUUUGCAUGAUUUAUGUAUUAUGACUAAUACAAUAUUGAUGAUUGCCGCAAGAGAAAGUGGUACUGUUUUUUCCUAGAAUGUUUGGGCUUCAUUUUUGGUUUUUUAUAAUAUAAUGGAAUCUUGUUACAUGUAAAGAUCACAUUCUAUAUCUUCAUGUUUAAG